UACGAAGGGGGCUAGCGUUGCUCGGAAUUACUGGGCGUAAAGCGCACGUAGGCGGACUGGAAAGUCAGAGGUGAAAUCCCAGGGCUCAACCUUGGAACUGCCUUUGAAACUCCCGGUCUUGAGGUCGAGAGAGGUGAGUGGAAUUCCGAGUGUAGAGGUGAAAUUCGUAGAUAUUCGGAGGAACACCAGUGGCGAAGGCGGCUCACUGGCUCGAUACUGACGCUGAGGUGCGAAAGCGUGGGGAGCAAACAGG
This 253-nucleotide ribosomal RNA is filed under the name uncultured bacterium. RNAcentral describes it as "partial 16S ribosomal RNA". It matches the Rfam family "Bacterial small subunit ribosomal RNA", at positions 524 to 776 of the family's 1533-position model. The record is from RNAcentral.